Long non-coding RNA from Zingiber officinale, 448 nucleotides. RefSeq lists it as uncharacterized. The record is from RefSeq and is a predicted model, not a curated record. Lineage: Eukaryota; Viridiplantae; Streptophyta; Magnoliopsida; Zingiberales; Zingiberaceae. The transcript has 3 exons.
UUCACUCUUGCGCUGUCUCCCGAAAUCGCCGACCACACCGGGAGCUCGACGGUCGUUCAGGGCUCGAUCGCGCCGGCGCUUUGUCACAGAUCAAUUCUUCCACCUUCUCUACUCCUUAACGAAGGUCACGACGGUAGAGUCUUCACUGAAGAGUAGACUCGCGCAAGGAUCUGCGGCCGGGUGAGGAGAUCUAUGCUCCGGUGACACCGGAGUCGGGUUGUUCGCUCCAGAGCUAGAUUGUGGCGAGUAAUGGUACUCCAGACAGCUAUUUCAUCUUCUUGAGGCAUAGAGCUGAGUCGUGUUCAUCGGAUACUUCUUCUUCGUCGGGUGUUCCUUCGCCGACGGUGAGGGUUUGCGCCAUUGAGUGGCUAGCGGUGAGGAGAUCGACCCCAACUUCCUGCUGCUGUUCUUCAUUCGGGAUUCAUUGGCCUUGUAGAAACAUCGGUUG